RNAcentral lists this ribosomal RNA (253 nucleotides) under uncultured bacterium. RNAcentral's name for it is "partial 16S ribosomal RNA". It matches the Rfam family "Bacterial small subunit ribosomal RNA", at positions 524 to 776 of the family's 1533-position model. The record is from RNAcentral.
UACGUAGGGUGCGAGCGUUAAUCGGAAUUACUGGGCGUAAAGCGUGCGCAGGCGGUUGGUUAAGUCUUAUGUGAAAGCCCCGGGCUCAACUUGGGAAUGGCAUUGGAAACUGGCUGGCUAGAGUGUGGCAGAGGGGGGUGGAAUUCCGCGUGUAGCAGUGAAAUGCGUAGAGAUGCGGAGGAACACCGAUGGCGAAGGCAGCCCCCUGGGCUGACACUGACGCUCAGGCACGAAAGCGUGGGGAGCAAACAGG